UACAGAGGUCCCAAGCGUUGUUCGGAUUCAUUGGGCGUAAAGGGUGCGUAGGCGGCGCCGUUAGUCAGGUGUGAAAUUUCGGAGCUUAACUCCGAAACUGCAUUUGAUACUGCGGUGCUUGAGGACUGGAGAGGAGACUGGAAUUCAUGGUGUAGCAGUGAAAUGCGUAGAGAUCAUGAGGAAGACCAGUGGCGAAGGCGGGUCUCUGGACAGUUCCUGACGCUGAUGCACGAAGGCCAGGGGAGCAAACGGG
This 253-nucleotide ribosomal RNA is filed under the name uncultured bacterium. RNAcentral's name for it is "partial 16S ribosomal RNA". It matches the Rfam family "Bacterial small subunit ribosomal RNA", at positions 524 to 776 of the family's 1533-position model. The record is from RNAcentral.